CCGUAGCCCAUGUUCAAAAGAAAGAAAAAGAAGGAGAAAAGAGGGGGAUAGGAAGGAAAAGAGGGAAAGGAUAAGAGAGCAAUAAUUAUACUUUCUCCCACCUCUAUUUCUCCUACAACAAAAUCAGCAGAAAGAAAAGAAAGAAAAAGAGAGAGAAUGAAAGAGAAAGAAAGAAGAAGAUGAAACCAUGGAAGCAUGAAGGAAGAAUAAGAAAUCAAAAGGUAAAACCAAAAUUUUUCAUCUCUUUACUUUUCUUAAGAGUUUGAUUUGUUGAAAGUUGGGUUAUAGGGGAUCAUGAUGGAUCCAAAGUAAUAAGGAAGUAUAUGAUAAAUAUUUUAUGUUUAAUCUAUGUCAUAAUUGAAUUUAAGAUCAAAAAGUUAGGAAUGUGUUUGAGGAUGAAUAAAAGUUAUUUUGAGGACUUAAAUCAAACUUGUAAAAGUGUUGAUAGUUGAUUAAUGUGUAAUAUCUGAGGAGGAUGAUCUAUAGAUUAAGAAGUUAUGGAAAUAUUCCAAUUUGAACGGACUAAAAAUGAUUUAAAUCGAAGUAGUGGUGAAAGUUUUCGUAAACAUGUUAAACGAUGAAAAACUUAGUCUUGGGGGACUUUUGAGCAAAAUUUUUGAAUAAUUAAUGAAUCUGAAAAAUUAUGAAAUCAUGGAGGUUUUGUAGAGCAUGUUACAAUCUUUCCAUAACCUUGAAAAUGGACUAAUUCCGACUUAAAAUGAAGAAGUUAUAAAGAUUUGAAGUAUGUGCGUCAAAAGUUGCAAAAUCUAGAACAUUGGAGUUAAGUGCCAAGGGUCGAGCGCCUAAGCACUAGGCUCGGCGCUUAGAAUCUGUUCUAGGGCGCCUAGGCGCUUGCCCAAGGCCAAAUUUGGGCGCCUAGGCGCUGAUCUAGUGUUAAGCCAAAAUCUGUUCAGACGUCCUUUAGUAAAUUGGGCAUAACGUCUUCAUAUGAACUCCGAUUGAGGUGAUUCAGGAUGAUUUAAAAAGAUAACGAGUAGACCCAAAACUUUUAUUCUUUAUAUUUUGAGAUUUGAGGUAGUUAUCAAGGCCUAAAAUGGCUAUUUUAGUGACUAAUGUGCAUUUAGAGGCAAUCAGAGGACGUCGGGCAUGCACGUAUGCAACGUGUAAUGUUUUCGAUGAUAAAUGAUGUUGUUAUAAGUUGUAAAACAUGAAAAUUAUUAAAUAUAAUGAUAUUAUGCGAUGAAUAAAGACAACUUAAAUGAACAAUGAAUUAUUAGUUGGUGUAUAUGUUAUUCGAUAUAAUUAUGAUUUGAUGUUGAUCCUUACUUUUAAUAGAAUUUGAAUUGUUUAUAAGUAAGGUAUUAAUUUGAUUCUUACAUAAGAAGUCACUAUGUAUUUUAUUCAAUAAUUGUCACAGUAGUUAUUACACAGUGAUUCAUAUUAUUGAUUCUUAAUUAUGUAAGAAGUCACUCAGUCUUUUAUUCAAUAAUUGCCACAGUAGUUAUUGCACAGUGACUCAUAUUAUUUGAUAUGAUAUAAUUAAACCAGUUGGCAGUAUUGAGAGUAUAUGUUAAUAAUUGUGAAUAAUGGUUCAAAGAUUGAAAAUGGUGUUGAUUAAAGAUAAGUAUGAUAUACAGAUGGUUGUUCAAUUAUUUUCUUUUUUACAAAAGUAAGUUUGGCAGGACUUGCGAACACUCUACUUUUACUAAAGUAGUAUGGACCACAACUCUAUUAUUGAACAAAUUUUAUUAAAACGUGUACAAAGUUGGUUUAAUUUUCUCUGUUGGACCAUAAAUUCCACUACCAUUUUUAUAUACCUCAUUUGGUUAAUUUGUCAAAGCAGAUGUGCUUGUUUACUAAAUUUUUAGUAUAAAUAGGUUGCUCGGUUGAGUAACUAAACACACAUCAUCACUACACUAAAAGUAUAGAAUUCUUUUACUUCAAUAUUGUGAGUAUUUCUAUUGAGUUUAAUGUUACUCCAAGUGUAGAUAAGGAAUGCAAGCAUUGUUUAAGUUGAUUAAUUUCAUAGAAAGCAAAAUCAAGUCACAUGCUAAGGUAAGGGAUAUCAUUAUUAUGGUAAGAGGGUAUCAUUUCACUGUUGAUUUACUUGAUUAUAAAUAUGAAUUAUGAUUUAAUUAUAAUCUGUGGUGGUUCAGGUGAAAACAUGUGAUGAGAGUUCUCUUUGUCUUGGGUAUAACCAAGAACUGUUGAUGAGUAUUACAGGAAUGAAAUAUUAACGAUGGACUUUUAUUCUAGGGGAGAUAGUAGACAUUAUGUUCUACUUGAUUCUUCUAAUGGAUUGUUGAUUUCGCUGCUAUUAUGGUUGGAAACUUUUAUCUUCUACCAUAUGUUCUAAAUAUCUGAAUUAUUAUUGAUGAAGGCUAUUGAUAAUUUAAUUAUCUUAAGUCAUGAUAUUCUUUACUGGGCUAUUUGUGCUCACCCUUUUACUUCAGCACCCCUUUUAGGUAAUAAAAGUGUAGCUGAGACUAGCAGAGAGAACAUGAGUAUAAAGUGUUGAUACGAAUUAGUCACAAGCCUAAUCAAAUUAUGAAACGUGUGGCAUAAUAAUUGUACUGAGAACUUAAAAUGUGUGUGACAUAUUUUAUACAUCAUUUGAUAUUUAAUUUUGGUGAACAACAAUUGGGUGAGGUGAAUCAGAAUUUGGAAACGUCAAAAAUGCACUCCAUUAGAAUGAGGAGGACAGAAAUCUUCUCGUGUUCCUUUGGGGACUUGAAAUAUUUGCUGCUGUACUUUAGAUGGCAUUGUAAUAAUUUGAGUAUGAAUAUUGUCGUAUUAUAUACGUUACAAUAUUUGUAUUGAAACUCACAGUAUAUGUGUCGUCGUAUUUUGCACUACAGUUGUAUAAAUGAAGCUGUCAGUCAUGUAUUUUCUAGCGACCAAGGAUGGGUGGCGUAUACCUAUUUUGGGGGCAUCACAACAGGAUACUGGAAUAGUGAGGUAUCAGACUUCUCUUCUUCUUUCUCUCUAUAAUUUCUCUAUAAUAAUUACUCUUGUGAGACUUAGUGAAUUGGUGAGAAUGAAGGAAGAAUGAGCUUCUAUUUAUAGGAAAAUAUAGUUUCGAUAAUUGCACGUUUUGGGGCUCGAAAUAUUACAAUAUAAUACCUUUAUCUUUUCUUUCAUUUUUAAUUUAGUCCUACAAGUAUUAUCAAACUUGCACCACCUCACCUAAUAGUAAAUCAUGUGAAUCAAUAGUAAAUCAUGUGACUCAAUAGUUCUAAACAUGUGAAAAAAAUAAUUACAGUAUAGUACCUUCAUCUAUAAUUUAAUCAUGCAAGUAUUAUCAAUCUUGCACCACCUCCCCUAAUAGUACAUACAUGUGAACACAUAGUUAUAAGCAUGUGAAUCAAUAGCAAUUAAUUCCUCAUUUAUUCGAUUAAUUACCCGAUUGGUCAAUAUAACCUCUAGACAUCAAUUAUUAUCGAAAUAAAUGUCGAUUUCCACUAACACUAAUAAUUCCAACACAAUGGAACUAUUAAUUUCAUCAUUAAUCAACACGAACUUAUUCAUAAUUAAUAUUAUAAUUCACAAUAUUUAACAACCAGGUCGUUCCCAGGAAAGAGGGGGCUUUCCGAUAAGGAUUUCUCCUUAUUGGCGCGCAAUUAGGUGACCAAACCUCUCCUUGAUAGAACUUCUAGACAUUGUCAAUAUUGCAAAUAAUAAUAUGAAUAACUUUGUUGUCUCAAUUAUUGAUUUAAUAAUAUAAUAUAUUAUACAGUUGAUACUAUGACAAUAAUUGAAUCAAUAAUAUGAGAGUUAUGAUGCAGCAAUUACUGUAGCAAUAAUUGAGUAUAACUGAGUGACUUCUUACGUAAGCAUCAAUAAUCAAUACCGUGUGCUUCUAUGCAACCACACGUAUUACUGUACUUUUACUACCGGGUAGUUCAACAGUUUUAACGGUAACACUCGCCGUUAUUUUUAUAAAAUGAUAAUUUUAUCAUUUUCUAACUACGACAAUACUUCCGUUGUGGGGUCCACAUCGUCGUACGAAUAUUUCUUGUUAAAACGAAUAUUCCCCUACCAAUCGAAUAUUAUAUAACAACUUUCUUACUUUACAAAAUUUAUAAAUAUUACACACAACUAUAACAUUAUAUCAAAUCCACACUAUAAUAUUCAAAAAAAUAUUUCGAGAAAUUUAAAUCUUUAUUCAUAAAAUUUGGGGUCUCACAAUCUCCCCUCCUUAUGAAAUUUUGCCCUCGAAAUUUACGUACGUACCAGGUAUGCUGAAGAGAUGAGGAUACCUUGACUUCAUUUCAGAUUCUAACUCUUGAGGUAUAACCUUUGAGUGUCGAAUAUAAUCCUUCUUAUCCAAGAUUUUAACACGUAUCUCCUCAUAAAUUAAAUCUUUUUCUAUCUCGUCUAGUUCUAAUUCAAUAAUGUGGUUUGGGUCAUCCACAUAAUUAUGUAACAUCGAUACGUGAAAAACGUUAAGAACACACGACAUACUUGACGGUAAAACGAGUCUAUAGGCCACAGUUCCUACUCGAUCGAGGAUUUCAAAUGGGCCAAUUAAAUCGAGGGUUGAGAUUUCCUCUAUUCAUCGACUCUUGCUUCUAGAAUAACGCCUUCUUGAACCUUCUUCUUCAUAUUCAUCAGCUCCAGGUGUGUAGUUUGAGCAGCUUUAACUUUAUCGAUUAAAGUCCAUUCUACUCGUAUAUUCGUUAUCUUCACGUGGGUCUCUAGAGUCUUUAACUCUAUCUUCGUCAUUGUAAGUUAUACGAAAUGGGUUUUUGUGUUAACAAUAUUGCACUCGUAAACGCAUACGAUCUUCUACUCAACGCGUCAGCUACCACAUUCGUUCUUCCACAAUGAUAUUGAAUGGUAUAGUCGUAAUCUUCAACAGCUCGAGCCAACAUCUUUGGCGUAUUAUAUGUUUGUUUUGGUUGAAGAAAUAUUUAAGGGUUGAAGAAAUGGGUUUUAUACUGUGGUCAAUACAAAAUUCGAUUUCACGCUCUAGGGUAGGCGAGGAAGUUCUUCGAGAAUACGUCAGGAAAUUUAUUAACGAUAGAAAUAUCAUUCAAAACUGUGACUCUCAUCCAAGACUUGGAUAGGACAUGAAAUGAAGGUUUCUACUAACGGAGUUUCAACCGAUAAGUCAAAGACUAAUUUCUUCGAAGUCAAAUUUAAACUUUGAGCGCAAGCAAGAGAGACAAAAUAAUGGGUAGAACCGGUAUCUAAUAAGGUAUAGACUUCGCCAGAAUUUAUAAUUAACUAACCUGUACUAACUUCGUUCGGGUUACUCGCUUUUUGAGAAGUCACGAAAAACGUUCUUCCUAAAACCACCGACUUUGUUUUGUCCGUAUCCGCCUUUAGUGCCACCAUCCCAACUGGACUUGACUUUAGCGCACGACAAAAUCGGGCUAGGUGAUCUUCUUUUCCAUAAUUAUAACAUGCUUUAGACUGUAUCACACAGUUUGGAACGGGUGCUGGUGAUACUGUCUUUCCAUCAUUUAAAACAUACGACCGACGGUCGUUCUCCUUCCUUUGAAACGGGUGCUGGUGCUACUGUCUUUCCAUCAUUAUUGAACCUUCUCUUCUUGAAAUUUCCACUUCUAUUAUCUUGGCCAUGAUUACCACUGAAGUGGUUACCAUUUCUAGCAUGAUAAUUUCCUCCACGAUGGUUAUCGUUGUUCCGAUGGCCGUUGCCACCGGUACGAUUAUUAUCGUGUUGCUAGUCAUUACCUUUUGGUUGAGCUGACUCAACGGUCUCAUGUGCUUCAUUGCUUAUCUCAACAUUUUCAGAUGCCUUUCUCAAACACUAUCACAAAACAAGGGUUAAUUGACAUGUCACAUAUUAUCCCUAUACUCUGACCGACCAAUUAAAUACCAAGUAAACUUAGGUAGGUCAUACUAGCGAAAGAAUUCUCCGUCUCUCCCCUCCUAGUUCUUGUCUCACAUCUCAGCCAGGGAUCAUAUUCCUAAGCUUUGAUACCAAUUGUGACGCCCCCAAAAUAGGUAUACAUCACCCAUCUUGAGUAGCUAGAUACAUGGUACAUAAAUUCAAAUACAACUUAAUUAUACAACAGUCGUGUAAAAUACGACAAAAUAUAGCUGAGAGUUUAAACAAGAAUAUUGUCAUCUAGACAAUAUCCACACUCAAUGGUGUCCUCAUUACAAUUAUUAUCACAUUAUUCCGUAGAAUAGUGAGGACUACUAAAGCCAUUUAUCCUGGACCAUCACUCCAUUUCCCGACUCGUCCCAGCUAUAUUCUCAUUUCCUGAAGAGAACAAUGAAAGAAAGGGUGAGCUCAACUAGCCCAGUAAGAAAUAUUAUGACUAAGAUAAUGCAGAAUAAAUUAUCCUUAGCCUUCAACAGUAUAACAACUGAUAGAAUACAAUAGACAACAAGUUUUAGAUCAACAACUGCAGCGGAAAUAAGCAAUCCAUUAGAAGAGUCAAGUAGAGCAUAAAAUCUACUAUCUUCUAUGAUUUAAAAAGUUUUUCAUCAACUUUAUCGCUGAGACUCAGCUUAAUAAAUAAAAUCGAAUCAUCCCUGCACCACGGCCAAGGAUAUUCAUGUAAUCAUCAAUGGUCAUGAUUAUACCGAAUAAUCCCUGGUCAUAAUCAUACCAACAACUGUCCAUCAAUGAACUACAGGCCAAUGAGGACUUUUACCACAUCAUUCGUCACAUUACGGUCAUGAUUAUACCGAAUAAUCCCUGGUCAUAAUCAUACCAAGUUCAUCUAUGCACGUAAGCCAAAGAUGACUUUAAUCACAAUAUAAGCAUGAGGAUGAUGACAAUGACAUAAUAAUUCAAUAAAACAAGUUCAAGGAUAAAUUUUUAAAGAUUUAUAAUUUAAUUUAUCCAGAAAUUAAUAACGUCCAAAUUGUCAACAUGAUACUGCUUUGUAGAGUAAAAUUCAAGAAUAAUAUUCAUGUACCAAAAAUAAUUUGGACAGCAAAAAAAUAUAUUUUUCGGGUGAAUAGUACUCCGUGAAUAGUACCCCGACACGAAAAGUAUCCCAAAUACCCGAGUGAAUGAUACUAGAGUGAAUAGUAAUCGGGUGAAUAGUAACCCGUGAAUAGUAACUCGUGAAUAGUACUCCGGCAUAAAAAGUAUCCUGAAUACCCGAGUGAAUAAUACUAGAGUGAAUAGUAACCGGGUGAAUAGUAACCCGUGAAUAGUAACUCGUAAAAAAAUACUAAGGAAAACGAUAUUCCAUGACGAGUACAAAAGAAAUGAUAUCUCAGACGAGUAUAAUAGAAUAUACGAAAUUGCAAAUGAAUUUUCACCCGCCAUGCGGUAAUCCACGUAGACAGACCAUUUCCACAAUUUAAUAAGGAAUGAAUACAAAGGAUCAUUCACCAUGCAUGCGGUAAUCCACAUAGAAAUGUUAUUCCAACAAAAUAAUAAAGAAUGGAAUAACAAAAGAAUUCACCAUGCAUGCGAUAGACCGCACAGACAGGUUAUUCCCAACAGAAUAAUAAAGAAUGGAAUAACAGAAGAAUUCACCAUGUAUGCGAUAGAACGCACAGACAGGUUAUUCCCAACAGAAUAAUAAAGAAUGGAAUAACAGAAGAAUUCACCAUGUAUGCGAUAGAACGCACAGACAGGUUAUUCCCAACAGAAUAAUAAAGAAUGGAAUAACAGAAGAAUUCACCAUGUAUGCGAUAGAACGCACAGACAGGUUAUUCCCAACAGAAUAAUAAAGAAUGGAAUAACAGAAGAAUUUCACCAUGUAUACGGUACUUCGUAUAGACAGGUUAUUCCAACAUAAUAAUAAAGAAUGGAAUAACAGAAGCUCCCUUCAUGAAUACGAAAGAAAUAAUACCCCUUACCUUAGAAGAAAUAACAUUAUAUCAAAUCCACACCAUAAUAUUCAAAAAAAUAUUUCGAGAAAUUUAAAUCUUUAUUCAUAAAAUUUGGGGUCUCACAGAUAUUAUGCAGGAAUUACUGUAGCAAUAAUUGAGUAUAACUGAGUGACUUCUCACGUAAGCAUCAAUAAUCAAUAUCGUGUGCUACUAUGCAACCACGCGUAUUACUGUACUUUUACUACCGGGUAGUUCAACAGUUUUAACGGUAACACUUUCGCCGUUAUUUUUAUAAAAUGAUAAUUCUGUCGUUUUCUAACUACGACAAUACUUUUGUUUUGGGUUCCACCAAUGAUUGUGUCAUCGUACGGAUAUUCCUGACAAAAAGAAUAUUCCAUGACCAAACAAAUAUUUUAUAACAACUUGCUUACUUUGCAAAAAAUUUCACAUAUCACCCUUAACUUUAAUAUUUUAUCAAUUUAACCAUUUACGAAAUAAAAUAAUAAUUAUAAGAAAAUUGAAUACUUUCAUUUCAUAAAAUUCGGGGUCUUACACCCUGCAGGUCAGUUCCAUAGUUCAAUUACAAUGCCCCAUGUCAUUAUUUUAUUUUAUUUAGUAUUGAGAAAUUAAGUAAAUACUACUUAGUUCAAUAUAUAAUUUAUUUUAUUUUAUUUUUAUUAUUUUUUAAUAUUCUAUUUAGUAUUGAGAAACUAAAUAAAUACGUACUAAUUAGUUCAUUAUUUUAUUUAUUCUAUUUUACUUUACUUUAUUUUAUUUUAUUUUAUUUAGUAUUGAUAAACUAAGUAAAUACUAAUUAUUUUAUUAUAUUAUUUAUUUUAUUUUAUUUGUUUUAUUUUAUAAUAUUUUAUUUAGUUUAUUUUAUUUUAUUUAGUAUUGAGAAACUAAGUAAAUACUAUUAAUUCAUUAUAUUAUAUUAUUUAUUUUAUUUUGUUUCAUUUUUAUUAUUUUAAAUAGUACAAAUUGUCCUAAAUUAAACGGUACACACUAUUGUUUCUUCCAAUAUUUCAGUUUAUUAAAUGAAAUUAUUCAAAAAUCAUAAUAUUCGAGUCUACAAAUUUAUUUUAAACAUUAUUUUAUCAAAACAUAGCUCACCGCACUCAUCAAAUUAAAUUCGGAAUGCUACCCAAAAUCAGAAUUAUGACAAGUUUCUAAAAAAUCAGAGGAUUCAAGUGCUAAAUCAAAUUCAAUUAUAUUCAGAAUGACAAUUCCUAAAUCAGAAGAUCCAAGUGCUUCCCAAGUUUCUCCAGUUUGUGUAAUGCUAUGGCAUAAGAAAUCCCAACCAAACUCACAUGACAUAUGACAUAGAAGGCUCAAACAUUUGAGAUACAAAAUCUAACAAUAUCUAACACUUGUUCGGAAAAAACUAUAACUACAUGCACAAAAUAUACACUGGGAUUCAACAUAUAUAUAAGAUUCAACCUAAGAUUUCAACAUUUUCUUAAAAAAUUCAAAUGAGAACAAAAAAAAAAUUAAUACCUGAUUUAUAGAGUGGCCUGGGCUUGGUCGAUGGCGACAACUUCGACGGUAGCAACCUUCCUCUCUUCCCUCUUCUUCUCCAUUUUCUCCCUCUUCUCCCUCUUCUUUUUCUUUCUUUCCACCGUCUCCUGGGCUGCUCGACUGCCUAUUUUGAUUAGAUUAAAGAAGAUCAGGGACCACAUGCGGUCGCUGUUUUUUAAUGACGUGGAUGUAUUAGAGACCGCUGGCGAUCGUUGGAAUUUGUUGGUCGUAAUAAACCUCCCCACCAACAUUUGCGCAAAAUUUAUGACGGCAAAAUUAAAUCAGCGACUGCAUGCGGUCGCUGAUAGUAGCUAGCAACUAGAUUUACAUACGGUUGCUAAUAUCGGUCGCUAUUAAUAACAUUAACGACCGGAUUAUGCGAUCGCUGAAAGUAUUGAUCGUUGUUGGACCAUUUUAUUAUAGUGUCGCCUCGUUUUCAAGCCUAUUGAUUGUAAUUAAGUCUAAGUUUUGACUCUAGACUGGAGAAUUAAAGUCUCCCCACUUAUAUCCGGAAUGUGUUUUCAUUAAGGCCAAUUAUGGAUGUGUGGACUUUAAACCUGGAUCAAGAUGUUUGCUUGCAAUGAUUAUACUUGAAAUAUGACUAUUAAUCACAAGUGUCUUAUUUGUUUUUAAAUUUGAACUUGAGACUAUUACUCCAUAGAUUAUAAAAUGACUUAAUAUAGGGGACUAUUUAAUACCAUGUUCAACUAGGUAUUAUAAUCUCAUAAAUUAUAAUCCCAAAAUUAUAAUACUUGUAAAGAAACAUGAGUUAUUGUCGUAUGUAAACUUAAGAAUGACAUUAUGUUAUUUUGACCAUCACAAAUUUAUCCGAAAUGUCAUAACGUUAAUUACAAUUAUAAUAUGUUUAUAUUUCUUAUAACUAAGAAUGUUUUAAAUUAAAUUUGAAAAAAGUAAAACCUAAUUUUACAUUUUAAACUUGAUAUUAUAAUCCCUAUAUAUGCAAAACGUGAUUUGAUUUGGACGCAAAGGUCAAAACGGAGAAGCGAAAUAUAGAUUAGAGAGGCUGCCCUUUCAAAGUAUAAAAGACUAACUACACAUCCAAGUUUCUUUCUCACAACCUAACGCUAUAAAUCAUUUGUUGAAUAUAUUUGAUCACAUGCAUUAUUAAUUUGCAUUUUUCUCCAUUUUCAUGUUUCUUUUUCCAAGUACACGUGGGAAAAAAAUUCAAUCCAAAUCGUUCCAAGUACAACUCGUCCUUUCUCAACCCUACUUAAUUCACAAAUACAAUUAUUUCCAAAUGUUGAAAUUUAAUAUAUACUAUAAGAAAUAUAUAGCUCACCCACUCUUCAUACAAGUCAAAAGAUGGCUGAAUUAAACAAUGUGUAGGUCAUACAUUAUUCUUAUUUUUAAGGGAUAACUUAGUCUUCAAAUUAUAAUUAUUUUUUUAUAUUUAGUCUCUUAACUAUUUUUUCGCAUAUUUUAUUUUUAAAUUAUAUUUUUCUUUCAUGUUAAUCACUUAAUUAAAAUAGAGUAUUUUUCACGUUUAAUUUUUAAAUUGUGAUUGUUAUUCAUAUUUGGUCUUUAAUUUAUAUAGUUGUUUUUCAUAUUUAGUACCCUUUAAUUACUCUAUUUUUAUAAAAUUUGACAAAGAUUAAAAAAAAUAAUAAAAUAUGAGGACGAAAUGCGUGAAAACAAAUAAUUUAAAAACUAAACAUGCAAAACAACAAUAAUUUAGAUAUAACGAAGAGGUUAUCCCUAUUUUUAACUCCGCCUAAUUCAAAUGUUCAUCAAUUGUAUAAAUAGACACAAAGUUAAUGAUACAAACUACUUGUAAUAUACGUCUAGUUAAAAUACAAUCGAUUUGACAUAUUUUUUUUAUAUGCAUAAAAAUUGUAUAUGUUGUGAAUAUUGCAGAUCUAUAUACAUGUUCUUAUGAAAUUAUAUUCUGAUCUAAAAGAUUAAGAUUCCUUGUAACAUAUGAUCCCUUCAUUUAUAUAGACACCAAAUUUCUUCUUAAAUUUUCACUACAAGAAAAAGGCCCAACAGUAAUUAAAAUUAUCUGUGACCGCCAUUUGUUGUCGCUAAUACUUAUAACAUCGACCGGUAUUAACGACCUCAUUUUAAUUUAGUCAUUAUUACUUUCCGUGAUUGUAAUCGGUCGAUGUUCGGUCGCUAAAAGAAUUUUCUAACAAAAAUUUGGCGUGAAAGUGGGGCGGGAAGCCUUUUUGCGACCGGAUCGUAAUAGCGACCGGAUAUCGGUUGCUAAUUCUACCACAUAGUUAAAAAUUAGCGACCGCGGGAGGUCGCAGAAAGCAGUCGAUGAUCCUAUUUAAUCUAUCAGGAAUUAGACAGUCAGACAGAAAUGAAAAAGAAUUAAGAAAAGAGAAGAGGGAGAAGAGAGAAUAGAGGAGUGCCCCCACCCCGGCCGGUCCACCCCACGCCGCCCUAUCAGGUAUAGUUUCUUAGUAAUGUAAUGUGUAUAAAUGUAUAAAUUAAUGUGUAUAAAUGUAUAAUUCUUUUAACUGAACAUAUGUAUAAUUUUCUUAUGUGCACUUUAAUGGUGAGUAGUAAUUUUAACUCAACUCGUGUGUAAAAGCUUUGCGAAAUAAAUCUUCAAUUUACCAAACUUGGAAAUUUUAUAUGGGUAUUAACAAGUACAAUCUAAUUAUAUCAAUGGUGCAUUGAUAUGUUCCAGAUGCAUGAAUUAUACCAUUUUUGAAUCAAUGUAUUAAUAUUAACCUUCAUCUUAGAAAGUAUAUAUAAUAUCACUAAUACAUUAUAAUACAGUAUAAUGCUUACAAUUAUUUAUUAGUGUAGUGCGAUUUAAAAGAAUGAACCCUCUAAUGCAUUCUAGUAUAGCAUUUUCAUAAAUUGAGAUGAGUAGAGGUGCAAUUAUUUAUGCAAAUUUUUGUAAAUAAGUACGAUACCAAAUUACUUAAUAAUCGCUAUCACACCGUACCAUAGUCAUCGUAAUUUUAUGGUGUGGUACUCGUACAAAAAAGCUUACCUGAGUUGCUCUUUAGAAUUCUAAGUUGGCACAAACAAUAAUCGAAUAGUCUUACCUUUUUUUAUGUUGUGCUUUGUAGGAUUAACUUUUUGAUGCUUUUGCAUCCAUUCGUUAUUGUUUUGGCCUUAUUAUAUUUUGAAUUUGUAUAUUUCUCUUGGGUAGUGUCUUGGGUGCCUACAAAUGACCAUAUAUGCAUACCCUCGUGCAUGUGGAUAGUGUAUAUUAUAGGGGAGACUAGCGAAUUUUUUUUAUUGGUCGAAUAACUGAAAAGAGGGGUAUAUUUUUAUAAUACCUACGUAUAUGCAAAAACAAAUGAUGUAGACUUGUCCCAAUGCAUAUGCAGACCAUGCAUGAUGCAAUGAUUCAUAUUAUAUCCCUAGGACUCUAUUGUCUUUAGACUGGUGCAGAUGUUUCAGUUAAAAUAUGUAGGAUGACAUAGGACCAUACUUCAUUCUAAUUUGAGAUCCACAACAAUAUAUCAUGCUAUGUAAAUUUGUUUUGGUACAUAUGUAUCCUCAUUCCAUUCCCGAAGCAGCAUUUAUGAUGCACACUCAUGUUAUAUAUGUACAUAUACAUCUAUAUGUAUUUAUAAGUAUCAUAAAUAGCAUUGGCUGAAUUGUAAAUCUCUAACAAGGGAAAUAAAAUAACUCUUGUCUGCAGUAAGUAUCGUGGUAUCAUGGACCUCUAUUUAGACCGUAGGUGGAUGAGUCGGCGAAAGUCAGGUGCCCGGAUAGGUGCUUCAGAUGAAUUUAGAGCUGGUUGCUAAGUGUUUUUAGAUUAUGCAUAUAGUAACCCAAAAUGAGUGAAUGGUCAGAACAAGAUAAGAUGCCCUUGUUUGAAGUGUAAGAAUAUAAAUUACAUGGACAGAGACAUUGUCAACUAUCAUUUACUUGUUUCUAGGUUCAUGAAAAAAUACGAAGAAUGCUAGUGGGCACAUGGUCAGAGAAGAGAUAGUGGUACAUCACACGUACACAAUUCGGGCAGUAGUACUCAUCGUAUGAAUGAAAUGGUUCAUGAUAUUGUAGGGUCGGAUUUUGAUUAGAAACAAGGUAGAGAGCAACCUAUGAAUUCUUAUGCCAAAGCGUUCUUUAAGUUGUCAGACGAGGGUAGAGAGUCGUUGUGGCAUGGUUGCACCAAGCACACUACAUUUUCUGCAGUGGUGACAUUACUUAACAUCAAGGUUGAUCACAACAUGAGCCAUGAGUGUUUUGAGUCGCUUUUGAAUGCCAUUAAGAGUAUGUUGUAUGAGACUAAAAAAUUUCCCAAAAACUACUACUAUUGUAAGAAAAUGGUGAAGAAGUUGGGUCUUGGAUACUAAAAGAUCGAUGCAUGUCCGAACGAUUGCAUUUUAUUUUAUAAGGAAGAUUAACAUGAGACAAGGUGCACAUUUUGCAGUCAUAAUCGGUUUAGGCCUAAUAGAGAGGGUCUGACAACAAAAAAAACAAAUAUACCUUUUAAGAUUUUAAGGUAUUUUCCAAUUACGGCUAAAAAGAUUGUAUAUGUCUUCCAAAAUAGCUGAACAUGUGACUUGGCAUGCGAAAUCUCAAGCUAAAGAUAGGGAACUAAACCAUCCCGCAGAUGGGAAGGCUUGAAAAGAUUUCAACUUAGCACAUCCUGGGUUUGCAUUGGAACCUAGGAAUGUGAGGCUUGGAUUGUCCACUGAUGGUUUCAACCCGUUCGGCCACUCUGCUGUUCCGUACUCUUGCUGGCCUGUGAUUGUUACUCCAUACAACUUGCCUCCUUGGAUGUGUAUGAAACAACCAUAUUUAGUUUUUUCACUUGUGAUUCCUAUUCCCAAGAGUCCUGGAAAGAACCUAGAUGUUUACUUGAGACCUCUGAUAGACGAGUUGAAGGUAUUGUGGGAGGAUGGAGUACAGACUUGUGAAGUUUUCUCAAAAAUAAAUUUCAACCUUAGGGCUGCGGUUAUGUGGACUAUAAGUGACUUCCUUGAUUAUGGUAUGUUAGCUAGAUGGAGUACACAUGGUAAGUUGGCUUGUCCGUAUUGUAUGGAGCGUACAAAGUCCUUCAAUCUAUCAAAAGGUAGAAAGCCUUGCUUGUUUAACUGUCAUCGUCGAUUCUUGCCGGUAGAUCACCCAUUUCGAAAAAACAUAGAACACUUCAAGAAAGGGAAAGUAGACAAUGAUAUGCCUGCACCGCGAUUUUCGGGGACGGAGAUGUGUGACCAUGUGAUGAGAUUAUCGGUUAUCUCAUUUGGAAAGACUGUUUCCUCAAACACAAUCGAUGGGUUUGGCGAGUCUCAUAAUUGGGUUCACAAAAACAUCUUUUGGGAACUGACUUAUUAGUCUACAAAUUUGAUUUGGCAUAAUCUAGAUGUGAUGCAUAUUGAGAAGAAUGUGUUCGACAAUGUGUUUAACAUCGUGAUGAGUGUUACAGGAAAGAGGAAAGAUAAUGAUAAAGCACGGUUAGACAUGAAAGAUAUUUGUAAACGUCCUGGAUUAGAACUUUAUGAAUCUACAAUUGGUAAAAUGUUCAAACCGCAUGCAAGAUACACAUUGUCCAAAAAGCAGGUUGAAGAAGUGUGCACAUGGAUUAAGUCUCUCAAACUACCAAAUGGAUAUGCGUCAAACAUUGCAAGGUGUGUUACGGGUGGGAAAUUGCAAGGGAUGAAGAAUCAUAACUGUCAUGUGUUCAUGGAAAGACUCGUGCAUGUUUAUAGCAUUUUGGGAUAUGCUUGAUAAACCAAUAUGGGAUGCUUUGACUGAUCUUAGUUAUUUUUUCAGAGACUUGUGUCCCAAAACAUUAAAUGAGAAGGACAUGUCAGUACAUCAUUGAGAUCACGUGUAAGCUUAAAACAAUAUUCCUGCCUGGUUUUUUUUGUCUCCAUGGAGCAUUUGCAAAUCCAUCUUCCCUAUGAAGCUCAUGUUAGGAGUCCAUUUCAAUAUAAAUGGAUGUACCCUUUCGAAAGGGUGAUGGGAAACCAUAAGAGGAAGGUGAAAAUAGAGCUUAUGUCGAGGGGUCGAUAUGUGAGGCAUACAGUUUCAAUGAGAUAUCUACGUUUAUCUCAGACUAUUUUCCCGACGAAGUCUUGACAAAGGUCAAUCGAGUCUCGAGACAUGAUGAUGGGGGUAAUGUUGAACUAAAUGGUCGGCAUUCUGUAUUUGGUCUAUCAGGUCGCGCUUAUAGAAAAAGAAAGCGCAUAUUCCUCUUUGAACAAGAUUUACAUGCUGCACAUACUUACAUUGUAAGACCCCAACUUUUAUGAAUAAAGAAUAAUUUUCUCAAAAUAUAUUUUUGAAUAUUAUGGUGUGGAUUUGAUAUAAUGUUAUAGUUGUGGGAGAAACCUUCAUUACAUCCACUGUUUAUAAGUCUUGUUUGAUUCAAAUCGGUAACUGCGCGUUACCUGUCGAACUUAUUUCCUUGAAAAUACUUGCAUUUGAUGUGAUUUUAGGGAUUGAUUGAUUAACUACUCAUCAUGCUAAAAUCGAUUGUUUUCGUAAGUUUGUUAGCUUUCAUAUUCCUAACCAACCUAUUAUGUGAAUUCAAGCAACCAAACCACUAAAAUCAAUCACUGUUAUAUCAAGUCAUAAAGCUAUUCGUUUAUUAAAAAAUGGAUGUCAAGCUUUCUUAGCCCAUGUCACGGAUUUAAAUAAAAAUAGGUCAGAUUUGAAUGAUAUUUCUAUUGUUAAUAAAUUUCCUGACGUAUUCCCUGAAGAACUUCCUGGCCUACCCCCAGAGCGUGAAAUUGAAUUUUGUAUCGACCUUGAAUUCGGUACAAAACCCAUUUCCAAAGCCCCAUAUUGAAUGGCUUCUAUUGAACUUCAGGAGUUAAAAACCCAACUACAGGAAUUGUUAGACAUCAGUUACAUUCAUCCUAGUACGUCUCCUUGGGGUGCUCCUGUUCUAUUCGUGAAGAAGAAAGAUGGAAGUAUGCGACUUUGUAUUGAUUAUCAGGAGUUGAAUCAUGUCACCAUCAAAAAUAGGUACCCGUUGCCUCGCAUUGAUGACCUAUUUGACCAGUUGCAAGGAGCCAAAUUCUUUUUAAAGAUUGAUCUUCGUUCCAGAUAUCAUCAGUUGAAGAAUAAAAUUGAUGACAUUCCAAAUACUGCUUUCAGAACUCGGUACGGGCAUUAUAAAUUCCUAGUCAUGUCUUUUAGAUUGACUAAUGCUCCUACUGCCUUCAUGGACAUGAUGAACCGAGUAUUCAAGGAAUAUUUGGAUCACUUUUUGGUUGUCUUUAUUGAUGACAUCCUCAUAUACUCCAAAACCCGUGAAGACCAUGAGCAACACUUAAGGCUGAUACUCCAAAAGUUUCGUGAAAACAAGCUAUAUGCCAAGUUAAAGAAAUGUGAGUUCUGGCUUGAGGAAGUUGCAUUACUUGGGCACGUGAUAUCAAAUCAUGGAAUAUCUGUUGACCCAGCAAAGAUUGAAGCAAUUCAAAGCUGGGAGCAACCAAAGUUAGUGACUGAAGUACAUAGCUUUCUCGGCUUAGCUGGUUAUUAUCGGAGAUUCGUGGAAGGAUUUUCUCGAAUCGCUACUCCAUUAACUCAGCUGACUCGAAAAGAUACAAAGUUCAGUUAGAGCGAGGAAUGUGAGAAGAGUUUUCAAGAACUCAAGAGAAGACUCAUUUCAGCACCUAUUCUGACAAUACCAUCUGGCUCGAAGGGAUUUGUCAUCUACAGUGAUGCUUCAGGCAAAGGGUUAGGAUGUGUUCUCAUGCAACAUGGGAAAGUCAUAGCCUAUGCCUCUCGAAAACUCAUUGAAUAUGAGAGAAAUUAUUCUACUCAUGAUCUAGAGUUGGCAGCAGUCGUUUUUGCGCUUAAGAUUUGGAGGCAUUACCUGUAUGGAGAGAAGGUGGAGAUCUAUACGGAUCAUAAAAGCCUCAAAUAUUUCUUUACUCAAAAGGAACUCAACAUGCGACAACGACGAUGGCUUGAGUUGUUGAAAGAUUAUGAUCAUACCAUCCAAUACCAUCCUGGAAAAGCGAACGUAGUAGCUAACGCACUGAGUAGAAGAUCAUAUGCGGGUACAAGUGCAAUAUUGUCAACGCAAAGGCCCAUUUUGUAUGACUUGGAAAGGAUGGAAAUAGAGUUAAAGACUCCAGGGACCCAUGUGAUGAUGGUGAAUAUACAAGUAGAAUCGACUUUAAUUGAUAAAGUUAAAGCUGCUCAACUUACGGACCUAGAGCUGAUGCGUAUGAGGAAGAAAGUACAAGAAGGUGCUAUUCCAGAAGUAAGAAUCGAUGAAGAAGGAAUACUUUGAGUCAACUCCAGACUUUGUGUUCCUAACGAUUCUGACUUGAAGUAUAAAAUCAUGAUGGAGGCGCACAACACACCGUUUGCAAUCCAUCCUGGGAGUACAAAAAUGUAUCGUGAUCUUCGACAUACAUUUUGGUAGAGAAAUAUGAAGAGAGAGAUAGCGGGGUUUAUCUCAAGGUGUCUAGCUUGUCAACGAGUCAUGGCAGAGCAUCAAGUGCCAAAAGAUCCAUUGCAACCACUUAAAAUUCCAGAAUGGAAGUGGGAUCACAUUAUCAUGGAUUUCAUUAGUGGUCUUCCCAAAGUUUCUCAAGGCAUAGAUGCAAUUUGGGUCAUUGUUGAUAGAUUGACCAAGUCUGCUCAUUUCUUACCGAUACGAGAAACUUUUACACUUGAACGUCUUGCUAGUAUGUACAUAAAUGAGAUUGUAAGAUUGCAUGGUAUGUAAAUAUCCAUAGUUUCUGAUCGAGACCCAAGAUUCACUUCAAGAUUUUAGGUUAGUUUGCAAAAAGCUAUGGGCACGGAUUUACGAUUUAGUUCGGCAUAUCAUCCUCAAACGGAUGGGUAGUCGAAAAGGACUAUUCAAACUCUUGAAGAUUUAUUAAGACUCUGUGUCCUUGACUUCAAAGGAAGUUGGGACAAGUUCUUACCAUUGGUGGAGUUUUCCUACAAUAAUAGUUAUCAAGCAAGUAUUGGCAUGGCUCCAUUUGAGGCGUUGUAAGGAAGAAAGUGUCGUUCUCCAGUAUGUUGGGAUGAGGUGGGUGAAGCAACGUUGUUGGGAUCGAAUUUGGUACGUAUGACUACGGAAAAGAUUUAAACGAUCCGACAACAUAUAAAAACCUCACAAGAUCGACAAAAGAGUUAUGUUGAUCUUCAUCGAAAGGACGUGGAAUUCAAUAUUGGAGAUCAUGUGUUGUUACGUGUUCCUCCAUGGAAAGGAGUUACGAGAUUUGGAAAGAGAGAAAAGCUCAAUCCUCGAUUCAUUGGCCCAUUUUUAAUCCUCGGUCGAGUAGGAACUGUGGCCUAUAGACUCGCCUUACCGCCAAGUAUGUCUCGUGUACAUAAUGUUUUUCACAUAUCUAUGUUACAUAAAUAUGUGAAAGACCUGAACCACAUUAUUGAAUUAGAACCAGACGAGAUAGAGGAAGAUUUAACGUAUGAAGAUUUACCUGUUAAAAUCUUGGAUAAGAAGGAUCAUAUUCUACGCUCCAAGGUUAUACCUCAAGUCAAAGUUUUGUGGAGAAACCACGAUGUGGAAGAAAUGACCUGGGAGUUAGAAUCUGAGAUGAAGUCAAGAUAUCCUCACCUCUUCGAUAUACCAGGUACGUACCCUAAUUUCGAGGACGAAAUUUCAUAAGAAGGGGAGGUUGUAAGACCCCAACUUUUAUGAAUAAAGAAUAAUUUUCUCGAAAUAUAUUUUUGAAUAUUAUGGUGUGGAUUUGAUAUAAUGUUAUAGUUGUGGGUAAUAUUUACAAAUUUUGCAAAGUAAGCAAGUGGUUAUAUAAUAUUCGAUUGGUCGGGGAAUAUUCGUUUUAACAGGGAAUAUUCGUACGACGGCACAAUCAUUGGUGGACCCCACAACGGAAGUAUUGUCGUAGUUAGAAAAUGACAGAAUUAUCUUUUUAUAAAAAUAACGGCGAAAGUGUUACCGUUAAAACUGUUGAACUACCCGGUAGUAAAAGUACAGUAAUACGCGUGGUUGCAUAGUAGCACACGGUAUUGAUUAUUGAUGCUUACGUGAGAAGUCACUCAGUUAUACUCAAUUAUUGCUACAGUAAUUGCUGCAUCAUAUCUCUCAUAUUAUUGAUUCAAUUAUUGUCACAGUAUCAUCUGCAUAAUAUGUUAUAUUAUUAAAUCAAUAAUUGAGACGACAAAGUUAUUCAUAUUAUUAUUUGCAAUAUUGACAAUGUCUAGAAGUUCUGUCAAGGAGAGGUUUGGUCACCUAAUUGCGCGCCAAUAAGGAGAAAUCCUUAUCGGAAAGCCCCCUCUUUCCUGGGAACGACCUGGUUGUUAAAUAUUGUGAGUUAUAAUAUUAAUGAUGAAUAAGUUCGUGUUGAUUAAAGAUGAAAUUGAUAGUUCCAUUGUGUUGGAAUUAUUAGUGUUAGUGGAAAUCGACAUUUAUUUCGAUAAUAAUUGAUGUCUGGAGGUUAUAUUGACCAAUCGGGUAAUUAACCGGAUAAAUGAGCAAUUAAUUGCUAUUAAUUCACAUGAUUAUAACUAUUUGUUCACAUGUGUGUACUAUUGAUUCACAUUCUUGUACUAUUAGGGGAGUUGGUGCAAGAUUGAUAAUACUUGCAUGACUAAGUUAAAAAUGGAGGUAUAGAUGGAGGUACUAUACUGUAAUUCGUAUUUUCACAUGUCUAGAACUAUUGAUUCACAUGAUUUACUAUUGAUUCACAUGAUUUACUAUUAGGGGAGGUGGUGCAAGUUUGAUAAUACUUGCAGGACUAAAUUAAAAAUGAAGGAAAAGAGGAAGGUAUUAUACUGUAAUAUUUCGAGCCCCAAAACGUGCAAUUAUCGAAACUAUAUUUUCCUAUAAAUAGAAGCUCAUUCUUCCUUCAUUUCUCACCAAUUCACUAAAGCUAUAGAGCAAUUAUUAUAGAGAGAAAUUAUAGAGAGAAAGAAGAAGAGAAGUCUGCUACCUCACUAUUCCAGUAUCCAGUUUUCUUCUAAGGUAAGGGGUAUUAUUUCUUUCGUAUUCAUGAAGAGAGCUAUUGUUAUUCCAUUCCUUAUUAUUCUGUUGGAAUAACCUGUAUACGCGGACUACCGUAUACAUGGUGAAAUUCUUCUGUUAUUCCAUUCUUUAUUAUUAUGUUGGAAUAACCUGUCUAUGCGAAGUACCGCAUACAUGGUGAAAUUCUUCUGUUAUUCCAUUCUUUAUUAUUCUGUUGGAAUAACCUGUCUAUGCGAAGUACCGCAUGCAUGGUGAUUUCUUUUGUUAUUCCAUUCUUUAUUAUACUCAGUUGGUUAAAGUUUUGACUUCUAUACUCCAUGAAAUUAGUGGAAUAUCCUUGAUAUUUGCGCUUCAUCCAGUAUCUUUUCAUGGAAAUAUUCUUCUGAGCAUUCUUGAAUUUUACUCUACAAAGAAGUAUCAUGUUGACAAUUUGGACGUUAUUAGUUCCUGGAUAAAUUAAUUCUUGAACUUGUUUUAUUGAAUUCUUAUAUCAUUGUCAUCAUCCUCAUGUUUAUAUUUUGUUGAAAGUCAUCUGUGGCCUGUAGUGCAUAGAUGGACUUGGUAUGAUUAUGACCAGGGAUUAUUCGGUGUAAUCAUGACCGUAAUGUUACAAAUGAUGUGGUAAAAGUCCUCAUUGGCCCGUAGUGCAUUGAUGGACAGUUGUUGGCAUGAUCAUGACCAUUAAUGAAUACACAAAUAUUCUUGGCCCGUAGUGCAUGGAUAAUUGUGGUCGUGAUACUAAAGAAUAUCCUUGGCCGUAGUGCAGGGGUGAUUCGAUGAUGUGGAUUAUUUAUUAAGCUGAGUCCCAGCGAUAAAAGUGAUGAAAAACCUUUUAAAUCAUAAAAGAUAGUAGAUUUUAUUCUCUACUUGACUCUUUUAAUGGAUUGCUUGUUCCGCUGCAGUUAAACUUGAUGUUUGUUAUAUUGUAUCAGUUUAACACUGUUUAAGGCUAAUGAUAAUUUAUUCUGCAUUAUCUUAGUCAUAAUAUUUCUUACUGGGCUAGUUGAGCUCACCCUUUCUUUCACUGUUCUCUUCAGGAAAUGAGAACGUAGCCGGGACUAGUCGGAAGACGGAGUGACGGUCCAGAUGAUAGCAUUAGUAGUCAUCACUAUUCUCUUGAAUAGUAUGACAAUAAAUGUAAUGAGGACUCCAUUGAGUGUGGAUAUUGUCUAGAUGAUAAUAUUCUUAUUAAAACUCUUAGAUUAUGUUUUAUUGUAUUUUACACGACUGUUGUAUAAUUAAGUUGUAUUUGAAUUUUGUACCAUGUAUUUGGCGACUCAAGAUGGGUGAUAUAUACCUGUUUUGGGGGCGUCACAUACAUUCUUCUCAAUUGCGUGGAGAUUAACGAAUUUAUGAGGUACACAUAUAAAAUUUCAAUUAUUUUAGGGAUAGCUAUAUCUUAACCUACAAUGAUAUACAUUCCAAUAUGUUAAUGUUUAUAAAAUAUUAUAGAUCAUACGAUGAUGAGUUAAAAGUGAAUCAGCCCGGCAUAACUGAUAAAGAUGUUCAAAUCAGUCGUGAUAAAAACUUUGUAAGGUGGCUUAAGGGAAAAAGUAUGCUACAUAUAUUAAGCAUUAAUAUAUACUCCAUUAAUUUAAGACUUCAUUUAAUGUAAUAGAGUUUUUAUAUGAUCUUACUAAGGGAACGAUUUCGGAUAAUGUACAAGUCCUAGCUAUGGGCCCAGACAUGGACCAAGUCAGCUGCAAUAGUUACAAGAUCAAUGGUUGUGAAUUUUAUAUAAAGGCAUAUGUGACAACCCAAAUUUUUAUAAAUUAUUAAAAUAAAAAUUUAAUAAUUACAAUUCUUAUUAUGAGAUGUAUAUAUUUUGAAUUAUGUGUUUUGGUGUGAAUAAAUUAAAUUUUUAUGAGAUUUAAUAGUUGAUUAAACUAUUGAAGAAAGUGAAGCAAAUUAGUUAUGAAAAAAGGAAAAUGGCG
RNAcentral lists this long non-coding RNA (22038 nucleotides) under Panax ginseng (ginseng). RNAcentral describes it as "long non-coding RNA (PGIN_LNC004600)". Lineage: Eukaryota; Viridiplantae; Streptophyta; Magnoliopsida; Apiales; Araliaceae. The record is from RNAcentral.